AGUGGCGAACGGGUGAGUAACACGUGGGUAAUCUGCCCUGCACAUCGGGAUAAGCCUGGGAAACUGGGUCUAAUACCGAAUAGGACCACAGGACACAUGUCCUGUGGUGGAAAGCUUUUGCGGUGUGGGAUGGGCCCGCGGCCUAUCAGCUUGUUGGUGGGGUGAUGGCCUACCAAGGCGACGACGGGUAGCCGGCCUGAGAGGGUGUCCGGCCACACUGGGACUGAGAUACGGCCCAGACUCCUACGGGAGGCAGCAGUGGGGAAUAUUGCACAAUGGGCGAAAGCCUGAUGCAGCGACGCCGCGUGGGGGAUGACGGCCUUCGGGUUGUAAACCUCUUUCACCAUCGACGAAGGUCCGGGUUUUCUCGGGCUGACGGUAGGUGGAGAAGAAGCACCGGCCAACUACGUGCCAGCAGCCGCGGUAAUACGUAGGGUGCGAGCGUUGUCCGGAAUUACUGGGCGUAAAGAGCUCGUAGGUGGUUUGUCGCGUUGUUCGUGAAAUCUCACGGCUUAACUGUGAGCGUGCGGGCGAUACGGGCAGACUUGAGUACUGCAGGGGAGACUGGAAUUCCUGGUGUAGCGGUGGAAUGCGCAGAUAUCAGGAGGAACACCGGUGGCGAAGGCGGGUCUCUGGGCAGUAACUGACGCUGAGGAGCGAAAGCGUGGGGAGCGAACAGGAUUAGAUACCCUGGUAGUCCACGCCGUAAACGGUGGGUACUAGGUGUGGGUUUCCUUCCUU
Molecule: ribosomal RNA, 741 nt
Filed under: Mycobacterium gordonae
Lineage: Bacteria; Bacillati; Actinomycetota; Actinomycetes; Mycobacteriales; Mycobacteriaceae
Description: bacterial SSU rRNA
Rfam family: Bacterial small subunit ribosomal RNA
Source: RNAcentral